Long non-coding RNA from Styela clava, 397 nucleotides. RefSeq lists it as uncharacterized. Lineage: Eukaryota; Metazoa; Chordata; Ascidiacea; Stolidobranchia; Styelidae. The record is from RefSeq and is a predicted model, not a curated record.
CCGGUACAAUUCUUAAGUUACCGUUGUGAAUACGAGUCGAAUUUGGCCGAGCAUUCCCAUGGAAGUCAAAAAGGAUUCCGUUAACGACAAGGAAAGAAUUCAUCUCGUUAAGCUGUGGGAGAAUCACAAACAAGUGACAUCCAAGACGUUACGAGAGAAAAAUUUGAGACGAAAUUCAGAACAUAUGUCUGAUGUUGCGAAAGACGAUCCCUAUUUUGGCGCAAGAGACCCAAUUGUAGUAGCGAGAGAUGCCCUUAUCAAGUCAUGCAAGAAAUAUUUCGCUGCAAACUACUUGAAGCACUCCAAAGAUUGGACAGAAAAAUCAUAUAAGUGUAUGUAUUGGGAUCGUGACUAAGCAUUCUGUAUUGCCAAUAAUAAAUGGAUUUUGAGUUGAAAA